AGUCGAGCGGACGAAGGGAGCUUGCUCCCGGAUGUUAGCGGCGGACGGGUGAGUAACACGUGGGUAACCUGCCUGUAAGACUGGGAUAACUCCGGGAAACCGGAGCUAAUACCGGAUAGUUCCUUGAACCGCAUGGUUCAAGGAUGAAAGACGGUUUCGGCUGUCACUUACAGAUGGACCCGCGGCGCAUUAGCUAGUUGGUGAGGUAACGGCUCACCAAGGCGACGAUGCGUAGCCGACCUGAGAGGGUGAUCGGCCACACUGGGACUGAGACACGGCCCAGACUCCUACGGGAGGCAGCAGUAGGGAAUCUUCCGCAAUGGACGAAAGUCUGACGGAGCAACGCCGCGUGAGUGAUGAAGGUUUUCGGAUCGUAAAGCUCUGUUGUUAGGGAAGAACAAGUGCAAGAGUAACUGCUUGCACCUUGACGGUACCUAACCAGAAAGCCACGGCUAACUACGUGCCAGCAGCCGCGGUAAUACGUAGGUGGCAAGCGUUGUCCGGAAUUAUUGGGCGUAAAGGGCUCGCAGGCGGUUUCUUAAGUCUGAUGUGAAAGCCCCCGGCUCAACCGGGGAGGGUCAUUGGAAACUGGGAAACUUGAGUGCAGAAGAGGAGAGUGGAAUUCCACGUGUAGCGGUGAAAUGCGUAGAGAUGUGGAGGAACACCAGUGGCGAAGGCGACUCUCUGGUCUGUAACUGACGCUGAGGAGCGAAAGCGUGGGGAGCGAACAGGAUUAGAUACCCUGGUAGUCCACGCCGUAAACGAUGAGUGCUAAGUGUUAGGGGGUUUCCGCCCCUUAGUGCUGCAGCUAACGCAUUAAGCACUCCGCCUGGGGAGUACGGUCGCAAGACUGAAACUCAAAGGAAUUGACGGGGGCCCGCACAAGCGGUGGAGCAUGUGGUUUAAUUCGAAGCAACGCGAAGAACCUUACCAGGUCUUGACAUCCUCUGACAACCCUAGAGAUAGGGCUUUCCCUUCGGGGACAGAGUGACAGGUGGUGCAUGGUUGUCGUCAGCUCGUGUCGUGAGAUGUUGGGUUAAGUCCCGCAACGAGCGCAACCCUUGAUCUUAGUUGCCAGCAUUCAGUUGGGCACUCUAAGGUGACUGCCGGUGACAAACCGGAGGAAGGUGGGGAUGACGUCAAAUCAUCAUGCCCCUUAUGACCUGGGCUACACACGUGCUACAAUGGACAGAACAAAGGGCUGCGAGACCGCAAGGUUUAGCCAAUCCCACAAAUCUGUUCUCAGUUCGGAUCGCAGUCUGCAACUCGACUGCGUGAAGCUGGAAUCGCUGUAUCGCGA
This 1300-nucleotide ribosomal RNA is filed under the name Bacillus sp. DWH.pah.3. Its description in RNAcentral is "bacterial SSU rRNA". It matches the Rfam family "Bacterial small subunit ribosomal RNA", at positions 60 to 1347 of the family's 1533-position model. The record is from RNAcentral. Lineage: Bacteria; Bacillati; Bacillota; Bacilli; Caryophanales; Bacillaceae.